This 478-nucleotide ribosomal RNA is filed under the name uncultured bacterium. RNAcentral's name for it is "partial 16S ribosomal RNA". It matches the Rfam family "Bacterial small subunit ribosomal RNA", at positions 28 to 523 of the family's 1533-position model. The record is from RNAcentral.
GACGAACGCUGGCGGCGUGCUUAACACAUGCAAGUCGAACGAUGAAGCCCUUCGGGGUGGAUUAGUGGCGAACGGGUGAGUAACACGUGGGCGAUCUGCCCUGCACUCUGGGACAAGCCCUGGAAACGGGGUCUAAUACCGGAUAUGACCUGCUGAGGCAUCUUGGCGGGUGGAAAGCUCCGGCGGUGCAGGAUGAGCCCGCGGCCUAUCAGCUUGUUGGUGGGGUGAUGGCCUACCAAGGCGACGACGGGUAGCCGGCCUGAGAGGGCGACCGGCCACACUGGGACUGAGACACGGCCCAGACUCCUACGGGAGGCAGCAGUGGGGAAUAUUGCACAAUGGGCGGAAGCCUGAUGCAGCAACGCCGCGUGAGGGAUGACGGCCUUCGGGUUGUAAACCUCUUUCAGCAGGGAAGAAGCGUGAGUGACGGUACCUGCAGAAGAAGCACCGGCUAACUACGUGCCAGCCGCCGCCGUAA